GAUGAACGCUGGCGGCGUGCCUAAUACAUGCAAGUCGAGCGAACGGACGCGAAGCUUGCUUCUCUGAUGUUAGCGGCGGACGGGUGUGUAACACGUGGAUAACCUACCUAUAAGACUGGGAUAACUUCGGGAAACCGGAGCUAAUACCGGAUAAUAUUUUGAACCGCAUGGUUCAAAAGUGAAAUACGGUCUUGCUGUCUCUUAUAGAUGGAUCCGCGCUGCAUUAGCUAGUUGGUAAGGUAACGGCUUACCAAGGCAACGAUGCAUAGCCGACCUGAGAGGGUGAUCGGCCACACUGGAACUGAGACACGGUCCAGAGUCCUACGGGAGGCAGCAGUAGGGAAUGGUCCGCAAUGGGCGAAAACAUGACGGAGCAACGCCGCGUGAGUGAUGAAGGUCUUCGGAUCGUAAAACUCUGUUAUUAGGGAAGAACAUAUGUGUAAGUAAAUGUGCACAUCUUGACGGUAACUAAUCAGAAAGCCACGGCUAACUACGUG
Molecule: ribosomal RNA, 497 nt
Filed under: uncultured bacterium
Lineage: Bacteria
Description: partial 16S ribosomal RNA
Rfam family: Bacterial small subunit ribosomal RNA
Source: RNAcentral